AGAAAUAUGUCCGAUAAAAGAGUUACAUUGAUAGAAUAAAUAAUAGAGGUUUAAAUCCUCUUAUUUCUA
This is a transfer RNA of Homo sapiens (human), 69 nucleotides long. It matches the Rfam family "tRNA". From Rfam's summary of the family: Transfer RNA (tRNA) molecules are approximately 80 nucleotides in length. Their secondary structure includes four short double-helical elements and three loops (D, anti-codon, and T loops). Lineage: Eukaryota; Metazoa; Chordata; Mammalia; Primates; Hominidae. The record is from Rfam.